GCAGAAGUAGCUCAGUGGUAGAGUGUCACAUUGCCGAUGUGAAUGCCGUGGGUUCGAAUCCCAUCUUCUGCU
This is a transfer RNA of 72 nucleotides. It matches the Rfam family "tRNA". Rfam says of the family: Transfer RNA (tRNA) molecules are approximately 80 nucleotides in length. Their secondary structure includes four short double-helical elements and three loops (D, anti-codon, and T loops).